GGGGCCAUAGCUCAGCUGGGAGAGCACCUGCCUUGCACGCAGGGGGUCAGCGGUUCGAUCCCGCUUGGCUCCACCA
RNAcentral lists this transfer RNA (76 nucleotides) under Thomasclavelia spiroformis. RNAcentral's name for it is "tRNA-Ala". It matches the Rfam family "tRNA". From Rfam's summary of the family: Transfer RNA (tRNA) molecules are approximately 80 nucleotides in length. RNAcentral also lists the same sequence under 61 other names. The record is from RNAcentral. Lineage: Bacteria; Bacillati; Bacillota; Erysipelotrichia; Erysipelotrichales; Coprobacillaceae.